RNAcentral lists this ribosomal RNA (369 nucleotides) under uncultured bacterium. RNAcentral describes it as "bacterial SSU rRNA". It matches the Rfam family "Bacterial small subunit ribosomal RNA", at positions 525 to 896 of the family's 1533-position model. The record is from RNAcentral.
ACGGAGGGUGCAAGCGUUGUCCGGAUUCAUUGGGUUUAAAGGGUGCGUAGGCGGGCAGGUAAGUCAGUGGUGAAAUCCCCGAGCUUAACUCGGGAACUGCCGUUGAUACUAUCUGUCUUGAAUACCGUGGAGGUGAGCGGAAUAUGUCAUGUAGCGGUGAAAUGCUUAGAUAUGACAUAGAACACCAAUUGCGAAGGCAGCUCGCUACACGGUCAUUGACGCUGAGGCACGAAAGCGUGGGGAUCAAACAGGAUUAGAUACCCUGGUAGUCCACGCCCUAAACGAUGGAUACUCGACAUACGCGAUACACUGUGUGUGUCUGAGCGAAAGCAUUAAGUAUCCCACCUGGGAAGUACGUUCGCAAGAAUG